Molecule: transfer RNA, 73 nt
Filed under: Bombyx mori (domestic silkworm)
Lineage: Eukaryota; Metazoa; Arthropoda; Insecta; Lepidoptera; Bombycidae
Also listed under: 1 other name
Description: tRNA-Val (CAC) (tRNA-Val-CAC-3-1)
Source: RNAcentral
GUUUCCGUUGUGUAGCGGUUAUCACGUGUGCUUCACACGCACAAGGUCCCCGGUUCGAUCCCGGGCGGAAACA